Hordeum vulgare subsp. vulgare (domesticated barley) is the source of this 125-nucleotide non-coding RNA. The record is from Rfam. Lineage: Eukaryota; Viridiplantae; Streptophyta; Magnoliopsida; Poales; Poaceae.
UAUAUACUCCCUCUGUUUGGAAUUACUUGUUGCACAAAUGUAUAAAAAUGGAUGUAUCUAGAAUUAAAAUACAUCUAGAUACAUCCAUUCCUAAUACAAAUAUUUCCGGACGGGGGGAGUAAUAU